UAACCUGCCNUUCACUUUGGGAUAACCCUCGGAAACGGGGGCUAUACCGGAUAUGACAUUCUGCUGCAUGGUGGGGUGUGGAAAGAUUUUUUGGUGGGGGAUGGGCUCGCGGCCUAUCAGCUUGUUGGUGGGGUGAUGGCCUACCAAGGCGACGACGGGUAGCCGGCCUGAGAGGGCGACCGGCCACACUGGGACUGAGACACGGCCCAGACUCCUACGGGAGGCAGCAGUGGGGAAUAUUGCACAAUGGGCGGAAGCCUGAUGCAGCGACGCCGCGUGAGGGAUGAAGGCCUUCGGGUUGUAAACCUCUUUCAGUAGGGACGAAGCGCAAGUGACGGUACCUACAGAAGAAGCGCCGGCCAACUACGUGCCAGCAGCCGCGGUAAGACGUAGGGCGCGAGCGUUGUCCGGAUUUAUUGGGCGUAAAGAGCUCGUAGGCGGCUUGUUGCGUCGGCUGUGAAAACCCGCGGCUUAACCGCGGGCUUGCAGCCGAUACGGGCGGGCUGGAGUUCGGUAGGGGAGACUGGAAUUCCUGGUGUAGCGGUGAAAUGCGCAGAUAUCAGGAGGAACACCGGUGGCGAAGGCGGGUCUCUGGGCCGAUACUGACGCUGAGGAGCGAAAGCGUGGGGAGCGAACAGGAUUAGAUACCCUGGUAGUCCACGCAGUAAACGUUGGGCGCUAGGUGUGGGGGGCCUCUCCGGUUCUCUGUGCCGCA
RNAcentral lists this ribosomal RNA (715 nucleotides) under uncultured Micromonosporaceae bacterium. RNAcentral describes it as "bacterial SSU rRNA". It matches the Rfam family "Bacterial small subunit ribosomal RNA", at positions 122 to 850 of the family's 1533-position model. The record is from RNAcentral. Lineage: Bacteria; Bacillati; Actinomycetota; Actinomycetes; Micromonosporales; Micromonosporaceae.